RNAcentral lists this transfer RNA (75 nucleotides) under Candidatus Omnitrophota bacterium. RNAcentral describes it as "Candidatus Omnitrophica bacterium (sediment metagenome) tRNA-Gln". It matches the Rfam family "tRNA". Rfam says of the family: Transfer RNA (tRNA) molecules are approximately 80 nucleotides in length. The record is from RNAcentral. Lineage: Bacteria; Pseudomonadati; Candidatus Omnitrophota.
UGACCCGUGGUGUAAUUGGUAGCACAACAGACUCUGGAUCUGUUUGUCUAGGUUCAAGUCCUAGCGGGUCAGCCA